Molecule: ribosomal RNA, 253 nt
Filed under: uncultured bacterium
Lineage: Bacteria
Description: partial 16S ribosomal RNA
Rfam family: Bacterial small subunit ribosomal RNA
Source: RNAcentral
UACAGAGGGGGCAAGCGUUAUUCGGAAUUAUUGGGCGUAAAGGGCGCGUAGGCGGCCUGACAAGUGGAAGGUGAAAUCCCUCGGCUUAACCGAGGAACUGCCCUCCAAACUGUUUGGCUUGAGUCCGGGAGAGGUGAGUGGAAUUCCCAGUGUAGCGGUGAAAUGCGUAGAUAUUGGGAGGAACACCAGUGGCGAAGGCGGCUCACUGGACCGGAACUGACGCUGAGGCGCGAAAGCGUGGGGAGCAAACGGG